RNAcentral lists this transfer RNA (73 nucleotides) under Ailuropoda melanoleuca (giant panda). It matches the Rfam family "tRNA". Rfam says of the family: Transfer RNA (tRNA) molecules are approximately 80 nucleotides in length. Their secondary structure includes four short double-helical elements and three loops (D, anti-codon, and T loops). The record is from Rfam by way of RNAcentral. Lineage: Eukaryota; Metazoa; Chordata; Mammalia; Carnivora; Ursidae.
ACCCGGCUGGCUCAGUCGGUGGAGCACGUGACUCACAAUCUCGGGGUCAAGAGUUCAAACCCCAUGUUGGGCA